This 608-nucleotide unclassified non-coding RNA is filed under the name uncultured bacterium. Its description in RNAcentral is "partial contains 16S ribosomal RNA, 16S-23S ribosomal RNA intergenic spacer, and 23S ribosomal RNA". The stretch from base 495 to 608 matches the Rfam family "Bacterial large subunit ribosomal RNA", at positions 1 to 114 of the family's 2925-position model. The record is from RNAcentral.
UCUAUGGAGACAUGGAUGCUUGAAGGAGAGCAAUCCUAAUCCAAAGGUCAGAUCGAGUUUGACUUGUCGUUGUUUAAUUUUGAAGGCCCUUUGGAAAAAAGGGAAUUCAACCCUAAUAUACGGGGGUAUAGCUCAGCUGGGAGAGCACCUGCUUUGCAAGCAGGGGGUCAGCGGUUCGAUCCCGCUUAUCUCCACCAAAGGUUUGAGAAUACCGAAACCGUUAACUAAAUGGGCUUGUAGCUCAGGUGGUUAGAGCGCACGCCUGAUAAGCGUGAGGUCGGAGGUUCGAGUCCUCUCAAGCCCACCAAAGUUUGACUUUCGUCAAACGAAUGUACCUUGAAAACUGAAUACAGGUAAAUGUGAAAUGGAAACAACGAGAUAAUGUAACAAAUAUUUGAAGCUUUAAACUUUUCAAAAAAAUUUAAAGGGUAAGAUAAACUACAAUAAAGUCGAGUUGAGAAAAUUAACGAACAAAGGACACAUAAUUCUAAAAAGGUCAAGCUAAUAAGGGCGCAAGGGGAAUGCCUUGGCAUUGGUAGCCGAUGAAGGACGUAGCAAUCUACGAUAAGCUGCGGGGAGUCGAAAGCAGGCAUCGAUCCGCAGAUUUC